This 318-nucleotide ribosomal RNA is filed under the name uncultured Pseudomonadota bacterium. RNAcentral describes it as "bacterial SSU rRNA". It matches the Rfam family "Bacterial small subunit ribosomal RNA", at positions 30 to 351 of the family's 1533-position model. The record is from RNAcentral. Lineage: Bacteria; Pseudomonadati; Pseudomonadota.
AUUGAACGCUGGCGGCAUGCCUAACACAUGCAAGUCGCACGCGAAAGGGGGCAACCCUGAGUAGAGUGGCGGACGGGUGCGUAACGCGUAGGAAUCUACCUCGUAGUGGGGGACAACCCGGUGAAAACCGGGCUAAUACCGCAUACGAUCCAUGGAUGAAAGCAGGGGACCGCAAGGCCUUGCGCUAUGAGAUGAGCCUGCGUCGGAUUAGCUAGUUGGUGAGGUAAUGGCUCACCAAGGCAACGAUCCGUAGCUGGUCUGAGAGGACGACCAGCCACACUGGGACUGAGACACGGCCCAGACUCCUACGGGAGGCAG